Molecule: long non-coding RNA, 481 nt
Organism: Labeo rohita (rohu)
Lineage: Eukaryota; Metazoa; Chordata; Actinopteri; Cypriniformes; Cyprinidae
Exons: 4
Source: RefSeq, a predicted model, not a curated record
UGAAAAAUAGGUUUCUGCUUCCACUUGUAAGUGAGAGUUUCCUUCAUGGUCCACAUGACACGCCGUCAUCUUUUAACGUCAGUCCACGCGUAUACUUUCAAAGAACUGAACUAGAAGAGCCACCCAUGAAGCUCCCUAUGGAGUGAGCAUGAAGCCAGCGGUGAUCCUCUCGAGAGUGUGGCAGAGCGAGCAUAUCUGUAUCGGGUCAGAGGUGACGUGAUGUGUGUUCUGUACAGGGAGCAGACGCUGGGGACUCUGAUCCAGGGUCAGUGGAAGAUCCUCAUGCAGACGGAGGCAGAAACGCCUGCAGCUCCGGGGGAGCGUACAGACGAGACGGAGAGAGAGGAAGUCAGAAAGAGAAAACAAUCCUGACGGUGGUAAUCCAGAUCCCAGGGGUGAAGCGACGGACGGAUUUGCCCCAGAGGAAGAGCGGGGGAUUACAAGAGAGACGACACCAGAGAAUAUACACCCAUUACUGAGA